GCCAGGUGCAGUAGCGCUUACCUGUAAUCCCAGUAGCUCAGGAGGCUGAGACAGGAGGAUCUCAAGUUCAAAGCCAGUCUCAGCAGGGUCUCACUGAGUUGCUUAGUGCUUCGCUAGGCCCUUAGUGCUAGUGAGGCACUAAGCAGUGAGACCCUGUCUCUA
Molecule: small RNA, 162 nt
Filed under: Marmota monax (woodchuck)
Lineage: Eukaryota; Metazoa; Chordata; Mammalia; Rodentia; Sciuridae
Source: RNAcentral